UGGAGGUGUAGAAAGAAAUAGUCCCUUACAAGAUAUUUAGUAGGGUAAUAUUGGAUCAUCGGGUAAAAUUGCAGUGAACAAACUCUCAAAUUACAUUUGAGCAAAGACUUUGAUGGUCCAACUUACUACCAGGAAACCAAUCCAAUCAAACUUAUGGGCCCAAUUACGUUGGGCCAAGCAAACGUGAUUUUUAGAACUUGGCC
This 203-nucleotide long non-coding RNA is filed under the name Vigna radiata. RNAcentral describes it as "long non-coding RNA (VRAD_LNC003140)". Lineage: Eukaryota; Viridiplantae; Streptophyta; Magnoliopsida; Fabales; Fabaceae. The record is from RNAcentral.